CCCCGGGGCGAACCCACCCCACCUCGAGACGUUGGGCGCCGCUUCCCCGACCGCGUCGCGAGGGACGCGACAGGAGGGAAGGGGAGCAGCGCCGCCUCUGCCCUCCACCCACCGGCCUCCACCUCGGCUCUCCGGCCUCCGGGUCCGGCUCCGGCUCCACGACCUGCCGGCCCUCCGGCCUCCGCCUCCGGCUCCGGCUCCGGCUCCACGACCUGCCGACCCACCUCCUCCUCCGCAUCCGGUCGCCGACACCUCCGCCCCUUCAUCUCUGUCGGUCACUCCAACUCCGCUGCUUGGCCUCCCACUCGCUGCAACCUCUCGGCCUUUCCAUCGAUCUGCAGCCGCGCCUCAAGCUCAGCACAUAUCUUGCAGAUCUCGGCCACUACUCUUCUCCAAGAACCACUCCUUGUUCAUCUUUUUGCUGGUUACUCUUGGCCUAGUAGAAAAUGGAUUCUUGGGAGGAUCAAGUUAGAAGAUUCAUGUUAGAUGAGGAAGAAGUGGAUGACGAGCUAUUUCUAGUUAUGGUCCCUGCGCUUCAAUUGUGCAUCUUGUUUUGCAGAACUCACCAUUCAAUUCUACUGGUACAAUGGCAGGAAGUGGUAACACGUGUUGAUUUGACAAAAGAUGUCUACCAACCAGAGGCUCGAUUACACCAAGCAGAGGCUUCUUGAGGGACUCAACUAGCUCUGUAUAUAUGUCUAUCAUCGUCAGAGUCUAUAAUAUUUUAGCUGUCUUCUAAAUUUGUAAAAACUAUCCUUUUUAUGUCUCUAGCAUCAACUGAGUGAAUGUUGUUCUACCAUUUGUAGCUGAAACUUGGUACUUUCUGAUAGAUUGAUUUGUCUAAAUUUCUAGAAAAUAUCAUGUAUGUGAUGGCUCCAUGACUUUGGUGACAGAUUUUUCUUGUUUAUCAGCAUGUCA
Molecule: long non-coding RNA, 918 nt
Organism: Panicum virgatum (switchgrass)
Lineage: Eukaryota; Viridiplantae; Streptophyta; Magnoliopsida; Poales; Poaceae
Exons: 5
Source: RefSeq, a predicted model, not a curated record